UACGUAGGGUGCAAGCGUUGUCCGGAAUUAUUGGGCGUAAAGAGCUCGUAGGCGGUUUGUCGCGUCUGCUGUGAAAACUCGGGGCUUAACUCCGGGCCUGCAGUGGGUACGGGCAGACUAGAGUGCGGUAGGGGAGACUGGAAUUCCUGGUGUAGCGGUGAAAUGCGCAGAUAUCAGGAGGAACACCUAUUGCGAAGGCAGCUCGCUGGGACGUAACUGGCGCUGAGACGCGAAAGCGUGGGGAGCAAACAGG
RNAcentral lists this ribosomal RNA (253 nucleotides) under uncultured bacterium. RNAcentral's name for it is "partial 16S ribosomal RNA". It matches the Rfam family "Bacterial small subunit ribosomal RNA", at positions 524 to 776 of the family's 1533-position model. The record is from RNAcentral.